GUUAGCAGAUGCUAUUGGUCACAUACACAUGGUUAGCAGAUGUUAUUGGUCACAUGGUUAGCAGAUGCUAUUGGUCACAUACACAUGGUUAGCAGAUGUUAUUGGUCACAUGGUUAGCAGAUGUUAUUGGUCACAUGGUUAGCAGAUGUUAUUGGUCACAUGGUUAGCAGAUGUUAUUGGUCACAUGGUUAGCAGAUGUUAUUGGUCACAUGGUUAGCAGAUGUUAUUGGUCACAUGGUUAGCAGAUGUUAUUGGUCACAUGGUUAGCAGAUGUUAUUGGUCACAUGGUUAGCAGAUGUUAUUGGUCACAUACACAUGUUUAGCAGAUGUUAUUGGUCACAUGGUUAGCAAAUGUUAUUGGUCACAUGGUUAGCAGAUGUUAUUGGUCACAUGGUUAGCAGAUGUUAUUGGUCACAUGGUUAGCAGAUGUUAUUGGUCACAUGGUUAGCAGAUGUUAUUGGUCCAUACACAUGGUUAGCAGAUGUUAUUGGUCCAUACACAUGGUUAGCAGAUGCUAUUGGUCACAUACACAUGUUUAGCAGAUGUUAUUGGUCCAUACACAUGGUUAGCAGAUGUUAUUGGUCCAUACACAUGGUUAGCAGAUGUUAUUGGUCACAUGGUUAGCAGGUGUUAUUGGUCACAUAGACGUGUUUAGCAGAUGUUAUUGCGGGCGUAGCGAAAUGUUUGUUAAAUUCAAAUUCAAUUCAAAAGGGGCUUCAUUUUCAUGGGAAUCGUGUUGCUAAAUGCAAGUGAUUUAAACAAUCAGAAAUGAACAGUAAACAUUAAACUGUUUGAAAUAAUCCUGUUACUGUGUAGUAUUUAAAUAUGAUGGAUCACCAUUUCUUUAUUUAACUAGGCAAGUCAGUUAAGAAGAAAUUCUUAUUUACAAUGACGGCCUACCGGGGAACAGUGGGUAAUAUAAGCGAUAACCAAAAGUAUACAGUUUUCAGAAAGCCCAAGAUCUACAAAAUACUAGUAAUGUGGAUCUGCUUAGUCCAAAGUGACAAAAAAAUGACAUUUUACUUUUGCCACUGCUUAUAUGUACAUUCCAACAGUUUAUACAACAACUAC
RNAcentral lists this long non-coding RNA (1071 nucleotides) under Salmo salar (Atlantic salmon). RNAcentral describes it as "lncRNA (ENSSSAG00000109247.1)". The record is from RNAcentral. Lineage: Eukaryota; Metazoa; Chordata; Actinopteri; Salmoniformes; Salmonidae.